Melospiza melodia melodia is the source of this 1959-nucleotide long non-coding RNA. RefSeq lists it as uncharacterized. Lineage: Eukaryota; Metazoa; Chordata; Aves; Passeriformes; Passerellidae. The transcript has 3 exons. The record is from RefSeq and is a predicted model, not a curated record.
AGUGAAAUCAAAGUAUUGCACAUACUAAACAUACUUGAAUAAAUUUUCAAACUUUGUGCUUCAUAACACACUUUUCUGUGUACUUUUUAAUGCCACAUUUACACAGUUUAGUGCCAAAGUAUUUUUCCUCUUUCUAGGGGAGAGUUGGGCACCAUAACUGAUACUGAUGUCUCCUGUCAUCAUAAGUGUGAGCUUCAAAGCCUUCUUUCUGUGCUAAGAGGAUUUCUAGUUCUGCUUGAACAUGUGGAGGUGGAAGAGAGCGCACAUAUUUGGACACAUACAUUCAAAGAGAAAAAGGCACAGUCAAAGACUUCUGCCUUUUCACAAGAAGAUGGAGAAGAUUUCAAUGCCCCUUUGAGCCCAGAAAAUUUUGUUCCGUAGUUUUGGAGUGUAGAAAACCAGAUAAAAAUGUUGUUUCUCUAACACAGACCUGCAGUCUUCCAUGUAUCAUUGGACAAAGCUAGGAAGUGUGCUGGAGUUAAGGACUGAGAGCUUCACUGCAACAUGGUCUUUUUGGAAAGCUGUUGCUGAGAAUGGAGGGGAAGUCUGAAGAUGUUGCAAUGGGAUUGCUGAAGAAGAUAGAGUGCAGUAUUCUCUGAGUAUUGCUUGAGCUUACUGAGUUUUAUGCCCCACAUGUCUUGCAUUUCUUCCUCAAGAAAAAGAUUCGAAACAACAAUGGUGACAACACGUGCUUUGAGAAGUUUACUGUUUUCAUUGUAAUAAUUUAUUUCCUGUUUUCCUUCUUCCAACAGAAGAUAAAGCCCUGUAAUGUUUGAACAGAAUUACAGAAGAUUGAAACUCUUUAUAUGGUUUGGGGAACCACCUGUUGGAGGUCAGCAUGCCUAAUAGGGGAUACUGGUGUAAAAUUUUCUAGGCAUUGAUGAUGCCUGUUCAUUAGUGCAUGUUAUAUGAGCAGACUUUUUUGAAGUUGUCAUGGUUGAACUGGAGCUGCUGGGCAUUGGGUAUAUCUGUUAUGGGGCUGCUGUUGCUUUGUAUGGUGUUUCUGGGUGCAGUGUGCAGAAAUGAGGUGUAAAGCCAGAAUUGGCUUGGACAACAAUUCUGUGCCCUGUGCACAGCUGGAACACAGCCAGCGCAGAGUGGAGCAGAGGUGGGGUGUGAAAAUGGAUUAGCAAAUCCAGACAGUGCUGCUGCGCCUCAGCAGUGGAAGAGCAGCAGCACCCAAAACUCUUGAGUCCUGCAUUGCCAUGUCCUACAUAUUUUCAAGGUGCCUGAGGAGGACCAGAACCUGAUUGAAGCUUUUCUAAUUGUUUGGAGGAUUCAUAUUAACUCUCACAUCAGGUGGAGUCUAAACCAGAUUUUUAUCUUUGUAUGUUCUUAGAUUUUUUUGUAUGUACUUUUGUAUGUACUUCGAUUUUUAUCAAAAUAGUAUCCUUUAGAAACUGCAGUUGUCAUAGUAAGUAAAAUCCUUCUGUGUAGAAGCUUAUGAUCUUGUACAAAAGGUCCUUUAUGAAAAAUUAUCCAUUAUUUGAGUUUUGUAAAUCACCUAUACUUUCUAUUAAGUAUGUAAUGGUGGAAUUUAGUCUAAGAUUUCUGCAGAAUAUAAAAAUAUCUCAGACAGUGUCUGCUCUAAUCAGGGAAUGUAUGUCUUCCUAAUAACACAAUGUAUUUGAAGAACAAUUAUAUGAUGCUCUCUUAUGUCUGAAUGUAUAAUAAAUGUAAUUGACUUACAGAAUAAUAAUUUGUGUUUAGUUGGGCAUGUAUUCAUCACUAAAUCGUUCACUUGUAGGUAUGCCUAAAAUCAGCAUUGUGGAGAUCACCUUAGUUUCUGUUUUAGGUUGUUAAUUUAAAAAUUUGUCAUUAACCUGCAUGGUAUUUCAUUAUGUUAGGUACAAAGUUUUUUUUCAGCUGAUUUGAGAAGUAAAAUUGAUUUUGAAAUGCCCUUAUUUCAUGUGAUAAUAUUGCAAAAAUUAUGUUAAUUCACCCACAGUUAUCUGUCUG